Molecule: long non-coding RNA, 1349 nt
Filed under: Strigops habroptila (Kakapo)
Lineage: Eukaryota; Metazoa; Chordata; Aves; Psittaciformes; Psittacidae
Description: lncRNA (ENSSHBG00005006141.1)
Source: RNAcentral
GGAAGAACCCCGGCCUGGGGAGAUGAGUAAGGACCUGUCUGGUUGGUUUACGCCCUUGCCCGACCUGUCGCAGGGGUGACAGCACACAGCAGCCUCCCGUGAGCACCUUGUGGAGGUCGGGGGGUCACGGAAGGCAUAGAACAUCUGACUGCAGCUCUGCUCCUGCAUACCUCCGCUCCACUACAAGACCCAGGGAAAAAGAUGGCAAAGCAAGGAGGAAUAAAAAGCUAAGCCUCCCAUCACACACAACCAAUUACCGUGAAAAGCUCAAUUUCAAGUUGCCUACUACUAGAGUUGAUACUGCAGCCUGGAGACUGAUGAGCUUGAAUGUCUGCUCCGCUAAACUGACUAGCCUUUCUCUCUUAUUUGCCAUAGCAGAAGAUCAUCUAUUUUUCUCUUCAGAUAUUUAUGGAUAGUUGUGUCUUUUGUAACGCCUGUCAUCUGAACAGCACAAGGUGUUUUAACCAUCUCCCAGCACAGCCCAGUCCACUCAAGCUUGUAACAAAUGCUGCUCAUCACAAGGAGAAUCACCACUAUUGCUCUCCCUUUCGGCCUACAUGCCCUUGGCACCGUGCAAGCAGCCCCCUAUGCUAACUACAGACUGCACCCAGAAUUACAGCUGUCUUGUACAUGCAGUCACACAUUCUGCUAGCAUGGUUCUGGGUUAUAUUAUAAUAAUAAUAAUACGGACAAACUUAAGAAAAUAGAUACAUUUAUUGAAAUGUGCAACAUGUGAAAUAUUUAGCACUAAUUAUGUGACACCAUCAUUUAAAAAUUCCAUCAUUUGUGACAUAUUGAAAUAUAUUUCAUACUGAAAACAAGGGCAUCUUAAAAUGCAUCUUAAAUGACAGUUUUAAUCAUUACCUAAGGUACAUUCAUAAUUGUAACUGAAGUCAUUCUCCCAAACAGUCAUUCUUAACAAAUUUUACAAAUGAACAGCUGUAUAAUGUUAGUAAAAUACAGUGAAAGUUCCUUCCCACUUCAGCAUCUUUAGCAAGUGCUUGGCUGCAGUACCAUGAGAUUACACAUGAAAAUACAAUUAAGCGUAUCUGUGUUUACAGGACUUAAAUUCAAAUCCUGACUCUUCAGGGUCACAAUGUACAUGUAAUCUCUAAGCCUGGGAGUAGUCGUACUGAAUUCAGUUUUAUUUUUCUAGACCUAUGCUGAAAGUUAGGCCUAACUGCAGACUGAAAGCCUGAAGUCCAUUUUUGGUCCAAUGUGAACUGUGUUUAUAGAUUUAAAAAAAAAAAAAUAAAUUAGGUUAACCAAGCUGUAGCCAAAAACAUUUUUGAGAUGUUACACAAAAAUUAAUUUUGUAUAUAAAAAAAAUACCGAUAGCUAUUCAUUAA